UACGGAGGGUGCAAGCGUUGUCCGGAAUCACUGGGCGUAAAGGGCGCGUAGGCGGCUCAUGAAGGCUGUGGUGAAAGUCCGGGGCUCAACCUCGGAUCGGCCGUGGCGACUCGUGGGCUGGAGCACUGUAGAGGCGGGUGGAAUUCCGGGUGUAGCGGUGGAAUGCGCAGAUAUCAGGAGGAACACCGAUGGCGAAGGCAGGUCUCUGGGCCGCAACUGACGCUGAGGAGCGAAAGCAUGGGGAGCGAACAGG
RNAcentral lists this ribosomal RNA (253 nucleotides) under uncultured bacterium. RNAcentral describes it as "partial 16S ribosomal RNA". It matches the Rfam family "Bacterial small subunit ribosomal RNA", at positions 524 to 776 of the family's 1533-position model. The record is from RNAcentral.